GUGAGGAAUAUUGGUCAAUGGGCGAGAGCCUGAACCAGCCAAGUCGCGUGAAGGAAGAAGGAUCUAUGGUUCGUAAACUUCUUUUGCAGGGGAAUAAAGUGCGGGACGUGUCCUGUUUUGUAUGUACCCUGAGAAUAAGGAUCGGCUAACUCCGUGCCAGCAGCCGCGGUAAUACGGAGGAUCCGAGCGUUAUCCGGAUUUAUUGGGUUUAAAGGGUGCGUAGGUGGUUUGAUAAGUCAGCGGUGAAAGUUUGCAGCUUAACUGUAAAAAUGCCGUUGAAACUGUCGGACUUGAGUGUAAAUGAGGUAGGAGGAAUGCGUGGUGUAGCGAUGAAAUGCAUAGAUAUCACGCAGAACUCCGAUUGCGAAGGCAGCUUACUAAGCUACAACUGACACUGAAGCACGAAAGCGUGGGGAUCAAACAGGAUUAGAUACCCCGGUAGUCC
This 445-nucleotide ribosomal RNA is filed under the name uncultured bacterium. Its description in RNAcentral is "partial 16S ribosomal RNA". It matches the Rfam family "Bacterial small subunit ribosomal RNA", at positions 354 to 796 of the family's 1533-position model. The record is from RNAcentral.